This is a long non-coding RNA of Mesocricetus auratus (golden hamster), 647 nucleotides long. RefSeq lists it as uncharacterized. The transcript is spliced from 2 exons. The record is from RefSeq and is a predicted model, not a curated record. Lineage: Eukaryota; Metazoa; Chordata; Mammalia; Rodentia; Cricetidae.
CAACCUCCCCUAACAGCAUCACCAACCAGAAACCAACUAUUCAAACGCCUCGGCCUGUGGGGGACAUUUCUCAGUCAAACUACCACACUCCCUGAGGUUACAAGCAGUGAGGACUGCUGAGAGACACGUUCGGACCAUCCGAGCUGCCUGGAAGACACACCCACAAUUCCACAGCUGCCUGCUCCAGGGUUCCGGCUUUCAUGAGCCCGUCAUUCUUGCUGGGGUGAGCUUCAGCACCACAACUGCCCAUGAGCCGUCUCUGCUCCUGGACCCCCUCACCCACACUCCUGCGAGUAACCCCGAUAAGCAUAUCGGUUUCCCGAGUUGGACCCUCACCUUCACGGCAUGAGGUGAGAGACACAUCCAUUCGCAUCUCCCCAGGAAUGGUGUCACGCGGCACAGAUGGCCCCAGGAUCUCAGUAUGUAUGCAGAAUGUUUUGCCUGCAGGUACAUCUGUGCAUCAUACGCAUGCAAUGCCUGUAAUGACCAGAAGAGGGCGUUGGGUCCUCUGGGACUGAGCUGGGAUGAGGGAAUCGAACAGAGAUCCAGUGCUCCUAACCACGGAGCCAUCUUUCCAGCCCAUUUUGUUUUGAUUGUUUUUUACCUCGGGUACUUAGUACAGACUCAGUAAAUACUUUGCUGACAGA